This 425-nucleotide ribosomal RNA is filed under the name uncultured bacterium. RNAcentral describes it as "bacterial SSU rRNA". It matches the Rfam family "Bacterial small subunit ribosomal RNA", at positions 354 to 796 of the family's 1533-position model. The record is from RNAcentral.
GUGGGGAAUAUUGGACAAUGGGCGCAAGCCUGAUCCAGCCAUGCCGCGUGAGUGAUGAAGGCCUUAGGGUUGUAAAGCUCUUUUGUCCGGGAAGAUAAUGACUGUACCGGAAGAAUAAGCCCCGGCUAACUUCGUGCCAGCAGCCGCGGUAAUACGAAGGGGGCUAGCGUUGCUCGGAAUCACUGGGCGUAAAGGGCGCGUAGGCGGACUCUUAAGUCGGGGGUGAAAGCCCAGGGCUCAACCCUGGAAUAGCCUUCGAUACUGAGAGUCUUGAGUUCGGAAGAGGUUGGUGGAAUUGCGAGUGUAGAGGUGAAAUUCGUAGAUAUUCGCAAGAACACCAGUGGCGAAGGCGGCCAACUGGUCCGAUACUGACGCUGAGGCGCGAAAGCGUGGGGAGCAAACAGGAUUAGAUACCCUUGUAGUCC